UUUAAGAUAAAUAAUUUAAAGUYUAAUUUGCUCCMUGAUAAAAUUAUUAAAUAGCUGCAGUAUCCUAACUGUACAAAGGUAGCAUAAUCAAUAGUUUUUUAAUUAAAAGCUGGAAUGAAGGAUUUGAUAAGGUUAAUAUUGUCUCAAUUUUGGUGGAAUUAUAAUUUUUUUUUUAGUAAAAAUACUAAAUUGAAUUUAAAAGACGAGAAGACCCUAUAGAUUUUUAUAUUUUUUAAUUUAAAUUAAUUAAAAAAAAAUAAUAUUUUUAAAUUAAAAAUUAUUUGGUUGGGGUAAUUAUUAAAUUAAUUAAAUUUUAAUUAUUGUAAACAAAAAUUAUUGAAUUAUUGAUCUUAAUUUUUUAGAAUAAAAGAAUAAAUUACCUUAGGGAUAACAGCGUAAUUUUUUUAGAGAGAUCAUAUUGAUAAAAAAGUUUGCGACCUCGAUGUUGAAUUAAGAUAAAAUUUUAAUGGAGAAAUUAAAAAUUUUUGGBCUGUUCRACCAUUAAAAUCUUACGUGAUCUGAGUUC
Molecule: ribosomal RNA, 526 nt
Filed under: Cryptus albitarsis
Lineage: Eukaryota; Metazoa; Arthropoda; Insecta; Hymenoptera; Ichneumonidae
Description: partial 16S large subunit ribosomal RNA
Rfam family: Archaeal large subunit ribosomal RNA (bases 387-526)
Source: RNAcentral